This 63-nucleotide transfer RNA is filed under the name Hydrochus carinatus. Its description in RNAcentral is "tRNA-His". The record is from RNAcentral. Lineage: Eukaryota; Metazoa; Arthropoda; Insecta; Coleoptera; Hydrochidae.
AUUUAAGUAGUUUAAUUAAAAUAUUGAUUUGUGAUAUCAAAGUUGUAAUAUUUACCUUAGAUA